Molecule: non-coding RNA, 209 nt
Organism: Pelobates cultripes (western spadefoot toad)
Lineage: Eukaryota; Metazoa; Chordata; Amphibia; Anura; Pelobatidae
Source: the annotation of a GenBank genome assembly
UGACACUCUGCUACAAUGUAAAGUAGUAAAUGUACAGCCUGUAUAACAGUGUAAAUUUGCUGUCCCCUCAAAAUAACUCAACACACAGCCAUUAAUGUCUAAACCGUCUGCAACAAAAGUGAGUGCACCCCUAAGUGGAAAUGUUCAAAUUGGGCCCAAUUAGCCAUUUUCUAAAAAUUAGAAAAACACAACUUCUGGCACAAAUACUG